RNAcentral lists this transfer RNA (64 nucleotides) under Oxyopes hupingensis. Its description in RNAcentral is "tRNA-Ile". The record is from RNAcentral. Lineage: Eukaryota; Metazoa; Arthropoda; Arachnida; Araneae; Oxyopidae.
AAUAAUAUGCCUGAAUAAAGGGCUAAUUUGAUAGAUUAGAUUAUGUGAAAUUUUUAUAUCUUUA